This is a ribosomal RNA of Lonchura striata (white-rumped munia), 118 nucleotides long. The record is from Ensembl. Lineage: Eukaryota; Metazoa; Chordata; Aves; Passeriformes; Estrildidae.
UUUAGAUACUAUAUCACCCUGAGAAUGUCAAAUCUCAUCUGAUCUUGGAAGCUAUACAGGAUCAGGCCUGGUUAGUACUUGAAUGGGUGACUACCUGGGAAUACCAGGUGCUCUAGGC